This is a long non-coding RNA of Tympanuchus pallidicinctus (lesser prairie-chicken), 1464 nucleotides long. RefSeq lists it as uncharacterized. The transcript is spliced from 6 exons. Lineage: Eukaryota; Metazoa; Chordata; Aves; Galliformes; Phasianidae. The record is from RefSeq and is a predicted model, not a curated record.
CUUCCUUUUGAGUCCUGCAGUCAACAACACUUUUUGGUGCUCUUCUUCAGUUUAUACUGCAAGCAGCCACUGAGGACUCUCACUGCUCCUUCCUCCAGUAUGCUAGAAGAGAGAAAAGCUACAAGGCGAGGUCGGGUCAAUAUCCCACAGAAAGCUGAAUGGAGUGUGUGUGAAUAAGCCAACAGGAAAGAUCAACAGAGCAAGAAGCAUCCAGCAGCCAAAGGUCUUUUUCUGCACUGAAAUUUUAGUCCUGUCUCCAAUUGAAGCAUGAAAGAUAUGGCUUAAGAUAGAACACAUGAUUUUAACUGUGGAGCAUCACCUCAGGAAGAAGAAUCAAUGAGUGUACCUCCUUGGGAGCGUGUUUGCACUGAAGAAGCAAUCAAGAGUCUCAGGACACUUUACAGACAGAGAUAACUUCUGCAGCUGCUUUUGGGGAUGGCUGAGUGUCAUUAUCCCAUCACACUUGGCGACUGUCUGGGUUUGGAUGGUGAGCAACCUUCCCGAAAGUCAACUACAGGUGUAAGAAUUGUCUCCCAUCUGCUGCCACAUAGACACAAAAUGGAAACAGUGGGACAGCUACCCAGUGUAGAAACAAUUCAGUGGAAGACAUCCGACAACUCAACUUUCAGGUUGCACUGUUUUUUAUAUACAGGCAAGGGAAGAAAUCUAUUCAGACUGGAAAAGGCAGAUGGAAUUUCCUGUACUGGGUUUGCAGGAGAUGAUUCUGAAGACUGAGAAGCUAAUUCACUGCUGUCUUGAAAAUAAGUUUGAACUUGCUAAGGUCUGUUCAGUGGCUGAGUCAAACUGCUACUAAAUUCUGUCAUUCUGAAUAAAUAUUUACGUGGUUCAUUUCUGCUGUACUAAGUCUGCAUGCUAAUUAUGUCUGCAUGUCAGUCUAACCAAAAUAAAACCAUUAUUUAGGUCUGAAUUUUAUUGAACAUGUGAUAAUUUUAUUUGACAUGAAAAAUUAAAAGCACUUGGAAGGUCUGACAAAGAUCUACUAUUUAAAACUUAUCCUCAUCUUCCUAGAGGAACCCUUUCCUGAGCCUUGGAAUGCUUUUAACCUACUUUGGCUUUUUGAUUCUUAAACAUUCAUAAGUAUCUCUACACACUUUUCUGCAAAUCUGCUCAAGAAAAGUUUAUAUAAUAUUCAUUUUUGGUACAUAUGGGAGAAAUUAAGAGCCUUGCCAACACUCCCUAGUGUUGUGUUUUCCUUUUCUUUUUUCUGUGAAUGAACAAGCUACUCCCAUCUUUGCUAACAGAUCAAUGCUUUGUCUUUAUGAUAUAACAGCCAUUCAAUUGAUCUUGCAAUGCAUGGUUUGAGUAAAAUAUUCCUUAAGAAUUACUCUGCUUCACAUGAUCAUCUUCUUAUAUGAGUGUGUCAAAAAAAGCUCUUUGUUACUUUUGCCCAUUCCUCCACCCAUUUGGAUACCUCUCCCUCUCCAAUAAAUAAUCCCCAAAUUA